Molecule: long non-coding RNA, 3188 nt
Filed under: Homo sapiens (human)
Lineage: Eukaryota; Metazoa; Chordata; Mammalia; Primates; Hominidae
Description: RASSF8 antisense RNA 1
Source: RNAcentral
AAACUCCCUUGCCAAGGACACUGGGAGGAAGCAGAAAAGCAAAGACCAAGCUCGUACUUUUCAGUCCGCGGCUUGUGUGCCGCGAGGAGAGGCGCAAAGGGUGACACACCAGGAAAGCAGGUAGCAGGCAAGAGUGUGGUUAUCGUUGGACCAGGAUUCAGGAUCUGACUGAGUAGCUGACUCUUAAUCCAGUUUGUGUUGAUCACCAGGAGGAUCUGGACCUCAGUAUUACCACAUCUAGAGCUAUAAUCACAUCCCUGUUAAGCCUUCCUGAGAUCACACCAAAUGUCCUUGAUGGGAAUUGUAAACAACCCUUACUUCUGGUUUCUAAUGAUAUUCCAGGAAAGGAGCCUAACUAGAGUCAGUAGAAGGCCAUCCUAGGAAACAAUCCCAUGAGUGAUGUUUCAUGAAUUAUCUUCGUGAACCGGAGCAAGUCGCUUUGCCUUCCUGAACCUUCUCUGAGAUGGAAGGGUGAUCUGAAAAUAUGCCUCCCGGGUAAACCUCAGCCCUGGCUGGCAGAUCUGGCUGGCUAAUGGGACUCCCCUUUUCCUCUCCAUGGCUCCUGUGCCUCCCCCUCAAGACUGUGUGUAUUCCAAGAGGACUACAUUCCCAGGUGGGGUCGUAUUGUUCUUAUAAUGAAGGCUUACAGAAUUUCCUCGAAUGUUGCAUCUAGUUUUAGCGUUCUGAAUCUGUGAAUCACAAAUUAGAAUUGGUGCCUUUGGAAGAGGAGAUGGGACAUGAAGCCUGCUCCACCUUCUGAUAAUGCCCUAAAGAGCAGCUCAAAAUACAGCUAAAAGAACCCAGAAAACAAAAUAGGUAAGUCUUGAAGAGAGAUCAACAUUAGGAACACAAUAUUCACUGAAUAUAAUUCUGUGGUCUGUUUUAUACUUUAUUUUAUGCAUUCACUCCUAGUAUUUAAUUUAUGUAUCAAUUUCUGAGAAUUGGUUUCCAAAAAAGUCAUUAUCCAGUGAACUCUAUUAGUCACUAAAGCUUUAUAACAAAUAAAUUAACAAAACAUUGUUACCCUAAGAAGGAAUAGCCUCUUGUCACUUGUUGCCCCUUGGCUCUCAAAACUGGAAAGUCCACAUGCUUAUAGUGGUUAUGAUAGUUUAUCAAACUGAAGAAGAAGCCUGAACAACACUCCAGUGAUUCCAGACACAAGUAGAUAAUCUAUUCAGCCCCAUGUAGUUUCAGAGAGUAAACGAAGAUAAGGAAAUUUUUUUCUUCUCCUCAGGGCAGAGAUGUUUUUCAGUUCUUCUUCUUUUUUUUUUUUAAUCUUAGCACUUGAUAUUCCCUUGGGAAGUGUUGGUUACAACAAAACACUAUUUAUUAGAAUCCAAGUAUCUGAAAUUAAUCAAAGAUAGAUUAGCAUGCCAGUGUCCCCUUUCCUCUUUUGUUAUAAAAGAGCAAUAGUCAUUUUACUAUUGCUAAAUGUCAUUUACAUUUAGUCAUUUACUAAAAAUUAGUAAAAAAUUUCUUAAUAUAAGCAUAAAGUUACAAAGGCAAAGAGAAGAUGUACUGGAAGGUAAAUAGGCGUGGCAGAGGUUUGAAAGGCUGUUAGGCACUGGAUUAUAAUCCUUCUAGGGUAUGGACAACAUCUGGGUGUUAUUUUCUCUUUCAUAGUCAGUUCAGUACUCACUGUGCAUGAGAGGUGCUUGAGUGAGUCUUUGUUAGAUAAAUGAAAAGCAAAUUAAUCCACUUUUCAGAGCUCUCUUCGGAGACCUGAGCCUGAACAAGACAAUUCUCUAAAAGACAGAAUAUUUGGGAAUGAAAAAUAGGACAUUAGAAGAUGCUGUUUGUUACUUUUUAAAUCCCUUUUCAUCCUGGCUACGCUAACUCUACCCUCAAGGGCAGGAGAACAGAGGACCAGAGAUGGCUCCAGGCAAGUUGUGAGCUGUGUGGCAUCAGCAUCUGUCUAUAGUGGUGAUGCUGGUGCUGACAUGUGGUGGUUUAUUUAAUCUAUUUGGGCCCCAAUAUCUGCAUGUGUAAAAGGGAAUGAUGAUAAUGAGUAUUUUCCAAAAAAUAUGGUUGAAGGAUUAACUGUAUUUGAGAUAGAGUAGGCCUCAGUUCGUGUCAGCUAUUAGCCUUAGUCUGUCUACAGGAACCAGAAGUUUCAGGUUGGGAGAAGCCUGGCCUUUUAGUGAGAAGCUUUCUUGUGGUGGGACAAGAUGUUGGUGUGAGACCAGAAACUCAGCCUCUCAGGAGCAGAAAAAGAGGGGACUCGAUGUUCUGCUGGUGAUUCUGAGAUGAGUGUUAACAUCAGAUGUGGCUGUUAGUCCCCAGAAGGACAAAUAUAAAUGUUUCCUUCAUGCUCUUCUUUGUUUUUGUUUUUGGUUUUUGUUCCUUCUGCUGAUAAAUAUUCUUACUCAGAGGUUAUUACUGCAAAUAAUAAUAAAAAAUACUGGUAAACCAGGCCUCUGAUGUGUUAUUGUUAAAAAAAAAUCAAUGUUUUAUUCACAGUCUGAGUACAGACUUGGCUUUAUUGUUCUGAAAGAAUUCUGCAUGGCAGGGCAGGGGCUGAGCAAAAGAUUAAUGUUCAAAGGAUUUAUUAGUGUUGACUGUGAGUAUCUGUUUGUGUUUGUCUGUAAAGUUGGCUUGGUAGUCAGAAUGUAUGGGAAAACCUUCUAAGAGUCAUAUGGCAGCUUUUCAAAAACUCUGUAGAGCUGGGUACACAAUUUCCCUGGACUCACUCCCAUCUAAGCAGCCUCUAUCAGAGGGACCAGAGCAGCUGUAAGAUACCUGUUCAGGACAGAUGUGCAUAGGCCUGAAGCAGGAUACUGCAUCCCAAGCAACCACAGACUGCCAAGAAAGUUUCCUGUCAUGGCACAACUUAAGCUGAAAAAAUAGCAUCACAGCCUGAGCUGGAAGGGGUCCGAGAGCUGCUAUCAUCCAAUCAUCCAAUCCCUUCAUUUUCUAGUUGAGGAAUCAAAUCUACACAUCUCUAGCGACCUGCCCAAGAUAAUGCAGCUAAUUAGGGUCAGAGUUAAGAUUUGAGACAGAAUACAGAAAUUUUUUUUUAAAGCCUUCUGUACUGACAUUUGUUUUCAUUAAAUUUGAUACCACUUCUAUCCUUUGUCAACUUUUAUCGCUGAGAAAUAAUUAAUGUUGCAAUAAGCUGGAAUCAAAGAAAUUGGUGAGAGAAAUUGUGCUGACAUGUUUGGGGUUGUCUUUGUAUUCUCUGAAACCAC